CCUACGGGUGGCAGCAGUGGGGAAUAUUGGACAAUGGGCGAAAGCCUGAUCCAGCCAUGCCGCGUGUGUGAAGAAGGCCUUCGGGUUGUAAAGCACUUUCAGUGGGGAAGAAAGCCUUGGGGCUAAUACCCUCGAGGAAGGACAUCACCCACAGAAGAAGCACCGGCUAACUCCGUGCCAGCAGCCGCGGUAAUACGGAGGGUGCGAGCGUUAAUCGGAAUUACUGGGCGUAAAGCGCGCGUAGGCGGUCUGAUAAGCCGGUUGUGAAAGCCCCGGGCUCAACCUGGGAACGGCAUCCGGAACUGUCAGGCUAGAGUGCAGGAGAGGAAGGUAGAAUUCCCGGUGUAGCGGUGAAAUGCGUAGAGAUCAGGAGGAAUACCAGUGGCGAAGGCGGCCUUCUGGACUGACACUGACGCUGAGGUGCGAAAGCGUGGGUAGCAAACAGGAUUAGAUACCCGAGUAGUC
Molecule: ribosomal RNA, 465 nt
Filed under: Vreelandella stevensii
Lineage: Bacteria; Pseudomonadati; Pseudomonadota; Gammaproteobacteria; Oceanospirillales; Halomonadaceae
Description: partial 16S ribosomal RNA
Rfam family: Bacterial small subunit ribosomal RNA
Source: RNAcentral